AGUGGACGCUGGCGGUAGGCCUAACACAUGCAAGUCGAACGGCAGCACAGUAAGAGCUUGCUCUUACGGGUGGCGAGUGGCGGACGGGUGAGGAAUACAUCGGAAUCUACUUUUUCGUGGGGGAUAACGUAGGGAAACUUACGCUAAUACCGCAUACGACCUACGGGUGAAAGCAGGGGAUCUUCGGACCUUGCGCGAUUGAAUGAGUCGAUGUCGGAUUAGCUAGUUGGCGGGGUAAAGGCCCACCAAGGCGACGAUCCGUAGCUGGUCUGAGAGGAUGAUCAGCCACACUGGAACUGAGACACGGUCCAGACUCCUACGGGAGGCAGCAGUGGGGAAUAUUGGACAAUGGGCGCAAGCCUGAUCCAGCCAUACCGCGUGGGUGAGGAAGGCCUUCGGGUUGUAAAGCCCUUUUGUUGGGAAAGAAAAGCAGCAGGUUAAAACCCCGCUGUUCUGACGGUAGCCAAAGAAUAAGCACCGGCUAACUUCGUG
Molecule: ribosomal RNA, 492 nt
Filed under: uncultured bacterium
Lineage: Bacteria
Description: partial 16S ribosomal RNA
Rfam family: Bacterial small subunit ribosomal RNA
Source: RNAcentral